ACGCCGAGGUUGCGAGAAUCUACGAGGCGUGGAUGGAGAAACACGGCAAGAAGGCGCAGAGCAACGGUCUUGUCGGCGAGGAGAAGGACCAGAGAUUUGAGAUCUUCAAAGACAAUCUCCGAUUCAUCGACGAACACAACAACAAAAACCUCAGUUACAAACUCGGUCUAACCCGGUUCGCUGAUCUGACCAACGAAGAGUACCGAUCUAUCUACCUCGGUGCCAAACCGAAGAAGAGAGUCCUCAAAACCAGCGAUCGUUAUCAGCCGCGUGUUGGUGACGCGAUACCUGAUUCUGUUGACUGGAGAAAAGAAGGUGCCGUCGCCGCCGUUAAAGAUCAGGGAAGCUGCGGUAAGCCUCCGAUCAUUUACAAUGAAAUCAGGUCUCCACUAGAACUAUUAAAGCUAAAAAAUAAAAUAUAAACAUUGAAACUUGGUAAUGAUAAUGUUUGGUCUCAAGUCGUGACUUUUAGAUGUACGUUUCUGUAAUAAUUGUGGUUAGAUUUGAAAAAUCGUAAACUCUCUUAGUGAUAUUUUAUUUGUUAGGAACGUUCUUGUCGUCUUUUAAACUUUAAAGUUGUGUAGUGGGACCAUUAAAUUGAUAACGGACCCAUACGAUAUCCACCUUUUAAAAGAAUUAAAGCAAGUGGUGGGGGCUAAAGUAUUUGAUUAUUUUGAUUUAACGGAUCUUCUCUUGAUCUGUUUUGUAGGGAGUUGUUGGGCAUUUUCAACCAUUGGAGCGGUGGAAGGAAUAAACAAGAUCGUGACAGGAGAUUUAAUCUCUUUGUCUGAACAAGAACUUGUUGACUGUGACACAUCUUACAACCAGGGUUGUAAUGGAGGUUUGAUGGAUUAUGCCUUUGAGUUCAUCAUUAAAAACGGUGGUAUUGAUACCGAAGAGGAUUAUCCAUACAAAGCUGCUGACGGUCGUUGUGAUCAGACCAGGGUUAGUAUAUCAUUAUUGUAUUUAGUUUAGUUUUUAGGGUCAAAUGAAAUCAAAAACAAUAAUAGCUUUAAUCUCUCUCUGUUUUUCGUCAUUUUGGCAGAAAAACGCAAAGGUCGUCACGAUUGAUGCCUAUGAGGAUGUGCCUGAGAACAACGAGGCUGCGCUCAAGAAAGCUUUGGCUAACCAGCCUAUUAGUGUCGCCAUUGAAGCUGGGGGUCGCGCUUUCCAGCUCUAUUCUUCGGUAUGAGCUAUAAGCAAUUUGUUUAUAACUAGAUAACAUGAGAAGGAUCAAUGCAAUAGGAACGAUGAAUGGUCUUGUAACACGUUUUCUAUUAUAGUCAGAUAAUCAUUUCAAAAUAUUAAAGUGUUUGCUUUGCCUUUUUUGACUCUUCAGGGUGUAUUUGAUGGAAUAUGUGGAACAGAGCUAGACCAUGGAGUUGUAGCUGUGGGUUACGGAACUGAGAACGGAAAGGACUACUGGAUUGUGAGAAACUCAUGGGGAGGAAGCUGGGGAGAGAGCGGAUACAUAAAGAUGGCACGUAACAUUGCGGAGCCAACAGGGAAGUGUGGAAUCGCCAUGGAGGCUUCGUACCCGAUCAAGAAAGGUCAGAACCCACCAAACCCUGGACCAUCACCACCAUCUCCCAUUAAGCCACCGACCCAGUGUGACAAGUACUACUCUUGCCCCGAGGGCAAUACUUGCUGUUGUCUCUUCAAGUACGGCAAGUACUGCUUCGGUUGGGGAUGUUGCCCUCUCGAAGCUGCUACUUGCUGCGAUGAUAACACUAGCUGCUGUCCUCAUGAGUACCCGGUUUGCAAUGGCGAUACCUGUUUGAUGGUGAGUUUCUUGGUAAUUUUGAGUUGGAUGAUAAUGUUUGGAAAAUGUUUACUGAUUUCUGUAUAACAUUAUCACAAGAAUCUUUUUGUUUCAAAAUAAAGAGAUAUAAUCUUGUUUUACGAAAUCCUAUCCACGCGGUAGCGCGUGAGAUUAAACGUUUCCUUCACGUGCUCCUAUCUACUUGGGCAAUUGAUAUAUAACAGUUAAUCUUACCUCCAAUGACACCACAUCCACUUGGCACUUCUGAGCUGUCGUUAUUACCCUCAUCUUGUCUUAACCAAUAAUAAUUGACCUUUCACAAUUUUUAUAUUUCAUUUUCACCCUUCUACUUCUCACUUAUUUUGUAACCCCCCUCAUUUCUUUUGAUUCACUUCAACAGCCCAUAUAAUUUCUUUAUUAGAAAAACAAGAACAGAAAGUUGACAAAAUAAUUGAAAACUUAAUAAAAAUACUCAUUUAAUUCCCCUCUUACGUCAUCCCUUUAGUCUAAUUCAAUUAUCCUUUUUAAUAUUCAAAAGAUUCGUUAGUAAAUUGGUUGUGUCUAAAAAAAUAUUUAACUAAAAUAAUGGAAAUUUAUUUAUUUACAGAAAAAAUAGAGGACCAUUUCUAUUUCACAAGCUCUUUAGACGCAAUUACAAAAUUUUGAAAAUACUCUAUUUUUAGUAGAUUAUAUACUUUUAACCAUUUUUUCUAAACUAUUUUUAUUUGUGAAAAGAGGACAAAAGUAAUUAAUAAUUAAUUCUAAACCUUUACUGAAUUUCCCCUUUAUAUACAACCCCAUCAACCCCUUUCUCAAUCACACAAUUGUCUUCUUCAUCCUCAGAAAACUAAAAACAUGGGCUCCGUAAAGGUAACCAUCCUCCUCUUAGCAAUGAUGAUCGGCGUUUCGUAUGCUGCCGACAUGUCGAUCAUCUCGUACGACGAGAAACACCACAUCACCGCCGACAACGAGCGGAGACACGACGCAAGAUAACAAUACAAUAUAUACAUAAGUUAUCUCUUUUUUAAAUUAUAUUUUCAGAUUUUGGAUAAUUCUUAUUAUUUUUAAUAAUAAUCAAUUAUCUAAUCAAAAUCAAUUAAAAUUUCGUUUUUAUUUUUUAAUUUAUUUAUAUAUUUUAUUCAUUAAGGGUAUAAACGAUAUUAACCAGUUUAACUUUCAACUUGAGAGCUUCAUUGCAAAAAUUUACUUCGCAAAUAAUAGUAUAGACAUGUGUUUUUAUUUAUAGGCUAAAUGUAUAUUUCGUUUUCUCUUAAACAAACCUUUUAACCUUAAAAAUAUGUCAAACUUGAUAUUUAAAGAUGUGAAUAGGACAACAAUUGGCAAUACAGCAGUCCACAUAUCAUCUUUUUAUUUGUUAUUAUUUUUAUAAAGUAGGAAACUAUUAGAAGUAGGGAAAUAUCACCCGAAAUAAAAAUGUAUGGUACAGUUAAUUUUCUCCUAUCUUCUACAACUACUUAUCUAGGUACAUUGUAUAUACAAAUAAAAUAAACUUUAAUAAAAUAUUAUGUUUGAUGUGUAUACGCAAGGAAGAAUACUUGAGUAUUUUAUUAUCACAAGGAAUCAUAAUAAUAGACCACAAUGUGAACUUACAUUUCGGGAUCAUAAGAAAAUCCCCGGUAUCUUAUAACAUUAUCACAAGAAUCUUUUUGUUUCAAAAUUGAAAAUACAGUAAAGAGAUAAUCUUGUUUUACGAAAUCCUAUCCACGCGGUAGCGCGUGAGAUUAAACGUUUCCUUCACGUGCUCCUAUCUACUUGGACAAUUGAUAUAUAACAGUUAAUCUUACCUCCAAUGACACCACAUCCACUUGGCACUUCUGAGCUGUCGUUAUUACCCUCAUCUUGUCUUAACCAAUAAUAAUUGACCUUUCACAAUUUUUAUAUUUCAUUUUCACCCUUCUACUUCUCACUUAUUUUGUAACCCCCCUCAUUUCUUUUGAUUCACUUCAACAGCCCAUAUAAUUUCUUUAUUAGAAAAACAAGAACAGAAAGUUGACAAAAUAAUUGAAAACUUAAUAAAAAUACUCAUUUAAUUCCCCUCUUACGUCAUCCCUUUAGUCUAAUUCAAUUAUCCUUUUUAAUAUUCAAAAGAUUCGUUAGUAUAUUGGUUGUGUCAAAAAAAUAUCUAACUAAAAUAAUGGACAUUUAUUUAUUUAAGAAAAAAAUAGAGGACUAUUUCUAUUUCACAAGCUCUUUAGAUGCAAUUACAAAAAUUUGAAAAUACUCUAUUUUUAGUAGAUUAUAUACUUUUAACCAUUUUUUCUAAACUAUUUUUAUUUGUGAAAAGAGGACAAAAGUAAUUAAUAAUUAAUUCUAAACCUUUACUGAAUUUCCCCUUUAUAUACAACCCCAUCAACCCCUUUCUCAAUCACACAAUUGUCUUCUUCAUCCUCAGAAAACUAAAAACAUGGGCUCCGUAAAGGUAACCAUCCUCCUCUUAGCAAUGAUGAUCGGCGUUUCGUAUGCUGCCGACAGGUCGAUCAUCUCGUACGACGAGAAACACCACAUCCCCGCCGACAACGAGCGGAGCGACGCCGAGGUUGCGAGAAUCUACGAGGCGUGGAUGGAGAAACACGGCAAGAAGGCGCAGAGCAACGGUCUUGUCGGCGAGGAGAAGGACCAGAGAUUUGAGAUCUUCAAAGACAAUCUCCGAUUCAUCGACGAACACAACAACAAAAACCUCAGUUACAAACUCGGUCUAACCCGGUUCGCUGAUCUGACCAACGAAGAGUACCGAUCUAUCUACCUCGGUGCCAAACCGAAGAAGAGAGUCCUCAAAACCAGCGAUCGUUAUCAGCCGCGUGUUGGUGACGCGAUACCUGAUUCUGUUGACUGGAGAAAAGAAGGUGCCGUCGCCGCCGUUAAAGAUCAGGGAAGCUGCGGUAAGCCUCCGAUCAUUUACAAUGAAAUCAGGUCUCCACUAGAACUAUUAAAGCUAAAAAAUAAAAUAUAAACAUUGAAACUUGGUAAUGAUAAUGUUUGGUCUCAAGUCGUGACUUUUAGAUGUACGUUUCUGUAAUAAUUGUGGUUAGAUUUGAAAAAUCGUAAACUCUCUUAGUGAUAUUUUAUUUGUUAGGAACGUUCUUGUCGUCUUUUAAACUUUAAAGUUGUGUAGUGGGACCAUUAAAUUGAUAACGGACCCAUACGAUAUCCACC
This 4936-nucleotide long non-coding RNA is filed under the name Brassica napus (rape). RNAcentral describes it as "long non-coding RNA (BNAP_LNC005655)". The record is from RNAcentral. Lineage: Eukaryota; Viridiplantae; Streptophyta; Magnoliopsida; Brassicales; Brassicaceae.